Molecule: long non-coding RNA, 1199 nt
Organism: Neomonachus schauinslandi (Hawaiian monk seal)
Lineage: Eukaryota; Metazoa; Chordata; Mammalia; Carnivora; Phocidae
Exons: 3
Source: RefSeq, a predicted model, not a curated record
UCUGCCUUCUGCCUGAGUCAGGCUGGGUUACAGUGAUGGCAGCGCUGGGCUGGAACGAGAGAUGAAAGGGUCCCAGCUGCAGGACUGAAACAGGACUAAUAGACCGAUCAAGGUGACAAAGCAGGAGGAUUGGCUCUGAUGGAAUCCAGAUGCCGGACGCUCUUCCCUGGUGUAAUACUACACAGAGACAAUUGUCACCUGUCCCACUUCUGGGACACUGAGCUAAAUGACAGGAAUGGCUGACGGCAGGGCUCGGCAGAAGGCACCUUACACUCUGAGAGUACAGAGCCAAGAUAAUCACUUGUGCUUGGAACAGUGCCAGGAAUAUGGUUCAGGGCACAUUCACAUCUGUCACCAACAAGAAAUGGGCUUGGGUGUCACCGGAAACAAGGAGAACAGAAUCUAAGGAUUCUCAAGCCCGGAAAAACCUCUGACUUCUCCAUUUUCUCUGAGGCUUCACACUAGAUCUUUUAAAGUUCUCAACAGGGAUAAUUGGUUAUGUUCCUGAAAGAACUUGGUAAACAGCUGAUUUUCAACCCUUGUAGGUCCCCACCAGUGUCUGGGCCAUUCCUCCAAAACACCAGAGGGAGCUGUUGUGCUGCCCAGUCCCAGCACCAAGAUGGUUCCUAAGUGGAGUGUGGCUAUAGACAUAAUGUAUAUGCAAACCAUCACGACCCAAGUACCUAGGAUAUACCAGUCAUAGAGAGCAGAAUACUUGAAACUGGGACAGUCCCAGAGUUUCCAGAAUUAUGGUGGCCAAUGUCCAUGGAGGGAAAUGUAGUUCCUAUCACAUCUGUAAGCUGUUACCUCAUCAGACUUCCCCCUUUCACUGUGUUUUGAUUCUUGAUGAGGUUUGCAGAUGAAACAAGUGAAAAAUGAAUCCAUCCUAAAGUAAUAAAGAGCCUCUUGGAAGGAAGAGAUGUAGACAGAAACAUCACUGCCACCAUAUGGCUUACAUUCCAUGCCUGCCAGUUCCUAAAAUGUCUGAUUAGUGGAUAUUUUCCAAGGUCCUAGACCUGGAGCUGAAACAGUAGGUACUCAAUAAAUACUUGCUGAAUGGAGAAAUGACUCCAGUUUCAGGGCUGGUCUUGCCACUCUCUGACCACUUGGUCCCUCUGGGAUUCAGACCCAUCCUCUGGGAAGUAGUGGGUGGGAGGAGAAAGUGAGAUUCCACUACCUAAUCACUGGGGUCUGCCUUA